GCAGCAGUGUGACAGCCAGCAAUCAAAAGUAACAAGAUAUCGAGGAAAUGCAGAAGGCAAAAAACUGCGUAGGAGAUCAUUAAUACAAUAGUAUUAUAUAAACCAAGCCUGAUGUUGGCCGCUCAUUCAAAGAAUGCAGCAGUGUGACAGCCAGCAAUCAAAAGUAACAAGAUGUCGAGGAAAUGCAGAGUGCAAUAAACUGUGUAGGAGAUUAUGAUUGCAAUAGAAUAAAAUCGACCAAGCCUGAAGUCCUUCAAUGCACGCAGCAGUGUGACAGCCAGCAAUCAAAAGUUACAAGAUAUCGAGGAAAUGCAGAAGGCAAAAAACUGCGUAGGAGAUUAUUAAUACAAUAUUAAUACAAUAGUAUUAUAUCAACCAAGCCUGAUGUCGGUAGCUUCUUCAAUGAAUGCAGCAGUGUGACAGCCAGCAAUCAAUAGUGACAAGAAUCUAGGAAAUACAGAAGACAAAGAAGCAGAUGUCUUCAAAAAAGAUCUUUGUUCCUGCAAUGUUUCCGCAGACGAUACGUCCAACAGAGCGAAGUGGAAGGAAAAGACUCGGAAAAAAGACCCCACCACCAUAUGGGAACAAUGCAAGGGAGAGAGAGAGAAUAUAAUGUUAUAUU
Molecule: long non-coding RNA, 622 nt
Organism: Pectinophora gossypiella (pink bollworm)
Lineage: Eukaryota; Metazoa; Arthropoda; Insecta; Lepidoptera; Gelechiidae
Exons: 5
Source: RefSeq, a predicted model, not a curated record